UAUGAAGCUAGCAUUAGGAUUAAGGUUGUGGUUUAGGUUAGGGUUGAACUGGGAUGUGGAUAUGAAGCUAGCAUUAGGAUUAAGGUUGUGGUUUAGGUUAGGGUUGAAUUGGGAUGUGGACAUGAAGCUAGCAUUAGGAUUAUGGUUGUGGUUUAGGUUAGGGUUGAACUGGGAUGUGGAUAUGAAGCUAGCAUUAGGAUUAAGGUUGUGGUUUAGGUUAGGGUUGAACUGGGAUGUGGAUAUGAAGCUUGGGUUAGGGUAAAUGUUAGGGUUUAGGUUAGGGUUGAACUGGGAUGUGGAUAUGAAGCUAGCAUUAGGAUUAAGGUUGUGGUUUAGGUUAGGGUUGAACUGGGAUGUGGAUAUGAAGCUUGGGUUAGGGUAAAUGUUAGGGUUAAAAGUCGAGCGUCUUUCA
Salvelinus sp. IW2-2015 is the source of this 412-nucleotide non-coding RNA. Lineage: Eukaryota; Metazoa; Chordata; Actinopteri; Salmoniformes; Salmonidae. The record is from RefSeq and is a predicted model, not a curated record.